RNAcentral lists this ribosomal RNA (275 nucleotides) under uncultured bacterium. RNAcentral describes it as "partial 16S ribosomal RNA". It matches the Rfam family "Archaeal small subunit ribosomal RNA", at positions 473 to 747 of the family's 1478-position model. The record is from RNAcentral.
AUACCGGCGGCCCGAGUGGCGGCCACUAUUAUUGGGCCUAAAGCGUCCGUAGCCGGUCUGACAAGUCCCCCGGGAAAUCUGGUCGCUUAACGAUCAGGCUUCCGGGGGAUACUGCCAGACUAGGGACCGGGAGAGGCCGGGGGUAUUCCCGGGGUAGGGGUGAAAUCCUGUAAUCCCGGGAGGACCACCUGUGGCGAAGGCGCCCGGCUGGAACGGGUCCGACGGUGAGGGACGAAGGCCUGGGGAGCGAACCGGAUUAGAAACCCUAGUAGUCC